Molecule: non-coding RNA, 8129 nt
Organism: Meleagris gallopavo (turkey)
Lineage: Eukaryota; Metazoa; Chordata; Aves; Galliformes; Phasianidae
Source: RefSeq, a predicted model, not a curated record
UGCGCCGGGGUCCGAAUGAAGCAGGACCUCCGGGUACACCGGGUCACGUCUGCCUUUUCAGAAAGAUUUAAUGGAGCUGCAGCAAAAGUAACCUCGUGCCAUAGGUGGGACCGAGGGCUUUUAUAGUAGCAGACUAUCAAAGGAACGUAAGGAAUGCGGGGUGUAAACAGAUUAGAUCUUUCUCCCCUUCUUGUAGAAAGGCCCAGGUUUCUUCCCUUUCCUCCGAGGCUUGAGAAAUUUAAAUGAAAUCCCGAAGCAUGCGUGUUACUCAAGCGCACUCCGUCCCCGGCCUGGGAUUCAAAGCCAACAAUUCACAGGUUUUUCCUGUUUAAUCAGGGGUUGUGCAGGAACUCGGUGGAGCCUUGGAACCGGAUCCACUGGCCGUUUGGGUUGAGCUGGAACGAAAUUGACCUACAGCACAUUAACCCCUCACUUUGCUAUUUCACCCGUUUGGAAGCGUCGGUCCUACAAUUACCGACGCUACCCACUGGCCAUGACUCUGCAGAAUGGAUUUCCUACCCCAAACCCACAUCCACGUGUUGGGUCUGUCCGCGCACAGGGAAGGCAGAAGGCUGAUCCUGGGGCUGAGCAGGGCCUGAAGGUCAGCAGGAGGCUCAGCACACCUGUCACAGUUGUGUGACCUGGAAGGACCCGAUAUCAGCUUGAAGUAAUCACAGAUGCUCUUUCCAGCGGCGGUUCCUGCAUUCUGAACCCUUAUUCGGUCCUGCUGGGGGGUGUUUCCCAAAGUAAGGAAUUAAACUGCGAUCGUAGGAAGGAACGCGGAGUCACAUUUUUCCUUGCAAAGGCAGCAGCUGCUGGCAGCAGCUGUAAUGGGCAGCUGUGAGCAGUAGUUAAAAGCAGAGGGGCUACGAAAGAUGCAAAUUCACAUAGAAGGCAGAGAGAGUCCUCGGGUUUCUGAACCCAGGAGCUGGGCCAACGAGGCGCACGUCGCACAGCGCAUUGAUUUGCAUUGGCCAAGCAGUGGUGUUACAGAUAUUCUACCCGCUGCACAGUGAGAAAACUCCCCUGGCUUGCUUUCCAGUAGACCAAGGCGUCUUGUUCUAGGGUAGCAUAAGGCAAAAUUCAAUUGCAGAAAACAGCACUUAAUGUUGACGGGGUCAGAGAGCCACCCGAGCGUGGUUUCUCCCAAGAAAACAUUUUGCCAUUCUUCUGAAACGCGUUCUCUUUCCACCUGUCACCGCCCUAUAGAUCAUUAGCGAUAAUUAUCCUCUUCACUUGAGCCAAAGUGAAACCGAACCAAAGCCAAAACACCAUCUCUAUUAGAGAUAGCAGAUAUCCAAAUUCCAGGGAAGCUGAUGAGAGAUUUCCUGUUGCCCUCCACGGCCUCUGGAUGCCCCGUGUUUUUUUUUAAGUUUUAAUUACAUUGAGCCUAGCAUGCCGUCUAUAUGUACACAUACAUGUAUGCACGUGGGCAUCCCUUUUACAUACAGUCUAGAAUCUCGUGUGCUGAUUUCAUCUCGAGAGGUGAUCACCUCUUUAGGCCAACGUGAUGUGGGAUGCCGGCACGCCUCCGGCACGCAGCUCUCCUCCCUCCCACCCUGCUCCACCAGCAGGCCACAGCACUGAGCAGAAAGCUGACAGCGCCCAAGGGCGGACGGCUCGCAGCCUGCCCACGGGGAUGUUCACAGACCCAGAAGCAUGUGAGCAUCGAGAAAAGAAGAAUGGGACUGCAGGAAGCCCUGCAGCUCCUGCAACUCCAGCGGGUCAUUUUUGCAAGCUCUUGUGUUCGGAAUAAAUACACACAAUAACUAGCAAGAAGCAAACGGCGACCUUAGGGCUUCCUCCGUGCGUUCAGGUUGCCCCGAACGCUUGGCACCGUGUCAGAGGGGGCUGCGAAUGAUGCUUGCCAUCUUCUUUUCGAUGAUCCUAAUCAAAGCCCCGUCUGCCUCCCGUGCCCUGCUGCAGCAUUCAUCUGAAUUUGCAGCACUGUGCCUGGCUUUGCUAGAAUUUCAGUUCCUUCCUAUAAAAAUCCCUCCCUUACGGUUGUUGGACACUCACACGCGUAUGAAAGCAUCCCAUAAAACAGGAGGAGAGCCUCUUCGUUUUCAGACAGCGUGCUGCACGUACUCCCACAGCUCAACCUGUGCACGAGUUUUACAGCUCAUCUCAGAGCAGCACCCCUCCGCACAGCCCCUUUUUUUCACCGUACGCUCAACAGAACACACAGACUCUACGUUAGCCCUCCCUUGCAGAGGGAGUCACUACGCAUCCAUCCCAUAGAGAUGGAGAUCUCCCCCCUCAGCCGCCAGCAGAGCUGGGAGCCCUGGAAGGAACAGCUGUGCUGAUGGUCGGAGGAGAAAAGCGGCACCAAGGGUUCGCAUCGCCGGGUCCAAUGUACGGCCGCAAUCGCUAUCGGUCUCCACAGGUUUUAAAAGAAGUAGAAAAUAAAUGUUUGUCCUUUUGUUCUGCUGGCAAUUUCUCUCCUGCUUCUCGAGCAACGCUACCAGCGUCUGAGCGGUCAGGAAGGUGGGAAGUCACCUGCAGCCACAGCUUUUAAUGCACAAAGGGCAGCAGCGGGAGCCACCCCGCCACCGCUCAGCCUUAUUCCAAUGACCGCAGUGCCUUUUGUUCCUGAACCACUUCCCAAGCUCCCUCAGAACAUCGCAAAGUGCAGAUAUCACCAUCCCUCGAGAAAAGCCUUCAUUAAGAAGAGAUAAAUUCAGUCACUUACUUGUUCUCUCCCGCCGUUCUCAUCCAUUAAACACACACACACGCACACACACACACACACACAAAAAAACAACAAACCCCAAACCAAACAAACCAAAGCAACUCGGCCUCGUUCACAUUAAGAAAAAUAAAAGUCGGGGUAAACGCCAGCCCCGAGUUCACCCGAUACCUUAUGAAACUCGGGGAAAACCGGGCGGAAGAGGAGCACCCCGGAGGAAUCUCGGAAGAGCGGAUUUAUUCCAAGUGCUUCGCAGCGCUGUUAUCUCCGCCUUGGCUAAGCGGAAUGCUGGUGAAAAUCUUUGCCUGGUACAGUGCGGAGCCUCUGGUUCACAGGCCAGGAAUUCUACGCUGAAUAAUUUUUAACUUCGUCUCUGGGAGGAAAAACAGAGUCUCGUACAUUCUGCCUGCUUGAGUAGGCUUUGUCUUUUUAUUGCACGGAAGGAGAGCUCCUAAUUUUCGGGGGAGGUGGGGGACGGGGACGGACACGCAGCGUGCCCUGAGCUACCCGAGGUGGGGGACACGGGGGACGGGGGCAGAGCAAAGCCGGGGGGCUUUUCAGGGGAAAUGAGAGGGCUGAGAGCGGCCUUUCGAGAAGCGUAGACAAUGAUUUCCCAGUUCUUUUUCCUCUCUUAAAAAAAUAAUUUUACCGAUGCGCAGCGAACACCAUCUACCCCACCUGGAACCGCUAAAACAACAGCAGUUAGAGAUUCUAACGGACCGUUUUGUUCUCUGAGUCGUCUUCCCUUGUUAGAGGGCUGGCUGAAAUUGGGGACGCCCCAAGAAGCAGGAGAGACUGCCUGAAGCCACGGAGUCAAGGUGCAGAGAUCUGGGGCAAGAAAUAAACCCAGGAGCGAGCCACUGUGGCUCUGCAGGAAUUACAUCACCGACUGGGAGUGCUGGGAACGAACCCCGUCUCCUGAGCUGUACCCAGGCACGCCGAGGUGGACUCGAUGACCCUAACAGGCCCUUCCAUCUCGGGUCAUUCUGUGAAAUAAAAGCUCAGAUUUCUGAGCAGAGCAUUCCUCGUGGCCUCUUCCCACCCGGAGACACGGGCCAGGACGUUGGGGACGAGGCGCUGCCCAGCAUCACCUCGAGAGGGCCACCAAACCUACGUCUGCUGGGCUCCAGGCCCACGCUCGUUCCACGUGUCCGCGGUGUUUCCAUCCACGGUAUUUCCAAAUGAUGCUUUUCUCCUGCAGGGAUGGCUCAGCCCACAGCAGCCACCGUGCGGAACGCAGCUGCCCUCUUCCACCACGAAAAGAGAAGGGGGAAGGCUUUCUGGAAGGAACACUCGGCUCCAACGGCUGCGUCUGGAACCUGCUGUCACAUAGAUCUCUAGGAGAUGCUAACAGCCACGUGUGGGUGUAACGUGGAUGCAGUCACCCCGACCGAAAGCAAAAAGCAAGAAUUGAGACGAAGGAAAACCCCACGGAACCAUACAGGUGAAUGAUGGGGCAGGUCUGGAAAGGGAGCAGCGAGGAAUGCAUUCGAGACCAUUUAAAAAGGGUUUUUGUGCGCGUGGGUCUCUACUGAAGUGUGACUUCCAAGACUCUCUCAGUGCACGUACCAGCGAAGGCUCCCCACCAGCAAUGCCCUCCUUGACAAACGCGUGCAAAUCCUCCCGCGCACCUCAAGAGAAACCUUCCCCCAGACCCCCCUCCGUCACCGGCAAGCCUCCCGGGGCUGUUUGUACAACACCGCCGCUUCCAAAGCAAACAGACGCCCUCAAACCGCAGCGGCUAUUCCAUAUUGAGAUGCAUCAAUAAAAUGUGAUUUAUAGCAUUGUCACUGGAACGUUUUGUCCUUAUCGAGCUCGAGAUAAGAUAGGAGGCAUUGAGAAAGGCUCGUUAAAGCGCAGUCUGGCAGUCAGCACAUUAACGAACUUGCUUUUUCAAAGCUUAUUAGCAAAGAGGCAACCGGUAUAAAGGAACAGCUUGCAGGAGCGGGCGCGAGCUGGGCGGUUACACCAUCGCUUCUACCUUCAAGAAGCCCACUUGUUUUAUGAUCGUGAAUUAUUCCAGAGCUCCCGUGCGGACGAAGAGCUCUCUGGGCUCCUCCCGUCCGUAUCUUUUCCUGAUUCAAAGUGCAACGGGAGUAUUUCAGAAGCUGUCGGAGUUUUUCCGCCUCUAGGAGCGCCCCGAAGCGGUUCUCGUUGGUCAGGGGGAGGUUUGCAGGGCAGAAAGCCCGGCGAUAUCGAUAGGGAAGGCCUCGCGCAAGGAAGCACCAAACCGUGCGGCGCGAGGAGACCGCACGCACGGAGCGCUCAGCCUCACAGCCCUCGGCGCGAAGUUUUCGGCCUCUGAGCCCCUCUGGCACCAACAGAACGCCGAGUUACGUCCUUCAGGUUCGGGACGUCCCCUUCUAAGUCGCUUUGCUUUCAUCCCCGUGCCCUCCGACUUCUGCCCCCCACCCUUUGCCCCGCCUCGAUGAGCCGUCCUUAUCGUCCUCUUCCUAUUUUUGAGCGUGCGUUAAGAUAAGGCAAACAGAUAAGCGAUCUCUCCCACAAAGAUUUACUUGCAUAAUCGGAACAUUUACUCCAAUCAGAGCACAAAAGACCUCAGUCUCUCCGUCCCCUUUGACUCCAUUGGUAAGGUCAAUAUUUGCCCGGCGGUCGCUCCCACCGCCCAGGCAGCGGGACGGACACGACAGCAGACAUCGGGAGACAGAUCGCUUUUCAUCACGCGGUCUGCAAGCGGACAAGCGUUGCAGAAGUCACCACGAGAGAAACGACAGCACGGGAGCUGUCGACCCAAGGGCGCGGGGAAUUCCCCCGCUUGAAACGUUAAACACCAGGGUCGGGCGCCUUCUAGGAAGGCGCGUCUCCACGUACGGAUGGCGGCUAUUUAGUCCCCAGCGCCCCGAGCGUGAGACGCACGUUACACGCGCCGCUUCCCCUCUCCUUCCCCAGAUCCCCAAAUCCUCCCAUCCCGCGGCCGCACGUCCUCCCCGCCAGCCUCCCGCGUCUCUCUAUUUAUCUGCCGCCAGCAGAGUUCUCAGAACCAGCUUUCCCCAUCCCGGCGGGACGCGGUCAACAAAGCCCUCAGCUUCGCGUGGAGGGCGCGACGCGUAGGCGAACCAUUUAAGGGCAAGGCGCUCCUAUGGCCAAAGCCAUCCCAAAUGCCGGGUCUGAAGGAGGGCGCUCCGUAAAGGAGCAAGAGGAACGGCCACCCAAGAGCCAUUCUCCGCUCCCCACGGGCACUGCAGGACCUCGGGCUCGUCGGUCGACCCAGAUCACGACCCCACAGGCUUGAGCGUGGCGAACGGCUGCUGACACCUGGCGGUGAGGUCCGGGGGCCAAACCGGCGCUCCGGGGGACGGAGGCGGCUGCAGGGGUUCUUACGGGCAACAUCUGCAGAGAGAUGGGGUACAGGGAAAGAGCGCAGCUGCUAAUCAGGGGUUCAAAACCGUCACACGAAGCGGCUCUGGGAGAAGAGACGCGACGGCUUUAGGAGUCGUCGUCCGCAAGCUGAACCCCACCGCAGCCGCUUGGGACAGGGGGAAGCAUCCAGCAGCCAAAGCGCUUGGGGAAAAGGAGGCGGCACCAGACAAAGCAUCUCUUCGGAGGCUUUAAAGCCCAUUUGACGUCUGCUUGCAAAUGGGAGGAAUCAUUAGGAACGUACGUGAAGCGAUUAGCGAACAUCCACAUCUAUUAGGCAUAAAGGAAAAAUAACCGGACCCAAAUAGCUGUCAGAAUGGCUCCCUUUGCUCCUUUACGUUAUUUGAGCUGCUCGUUUGCAGAAACUCAAUCUCGGGUCUUUAAAUGAGCAUACGGUGGGGAAACAAGAGGGAAAGGCAAAACGUUUCCGCCCGGCUUUAGGCGCAGAGCGGGCUUCGCGCGACGAGAGCAGGGAGGUCGCGGAACGUAAACACAGUAAUUAAGGCGCUCAUUCUAAUUGCAGGCAGUUAACUGUGCCGCACGCUGCAUUACCGAGCCACCCUAGGCACCGCACCGUUGGAAAUCCCUCACGCGUCCUUUAGCCCGGCUUUGGGGAUCUUCCGUACCCACGCGGGCUUUUCAUCCUCGCUCAACUGUUCGGUAUUGGAAUCGGGCCCCUUCGUUUUCUUACAGUACAACGUAUUCACAAUACAUUUGGUUUCCAACCAAACCUUCGGAUCCACCCGAGCAGCUCAGCCCACACGUCUCCCUUCGGCUGCGGGGUGAGAUAAAGCCCUCCGUGCCGAACACGAAGAGGGAACGCGGAUAACUCAAGAAAUUGCGAGCGCCCGUCCCGUCCCGUCCCAUCCCAUCCUCGUGGCGCUCGCGGGGCCGCGCGGGUACCACUAGGUGUCACCCCGCGCCCGCCGACGGUCCCGGCGCCGCCGCAGGGUGACCUCGCGGGGCGGUGACCGUCGCUUGCUUCCAAGCGCUGCCUCACGUCGCCCCGAGGGAGGCUCGGUGGAACAUUAGGAGGAAUUUCUUUUCCGACGGAGCGGCGGUGCGUCGGCCGCCCGGGGAGGCGGGGCCGUCCCCAUCCCCGGAGGCGUCCGACGCGGAGACGCGGGCGGGAUUGGCGGUAGGUGGGCUGUUGGACUGGAUGACCUUGGAGGUCAUUUCCAGCCUCAAGGAUUCGACGCCGCCACGAUUCUAAGCGAGAUGGUGGGGUUUGUCUCUGAGCGGCGUGCUGACCGGGGACGCUGGGACCGCGCAGCAGCGCAGGCUGGCGGAGCCACGCAGCUGCCUGGCUGUCCUUGGAGAGGAGCAGCCUCUGGCAGCUCAUCCGCGCUAUCCCGUCACAUCCUCCUCGCUGCCGCAGCUCCCUUCGUCCGGGUCUGGACAACGCACAGAUAGAGAGCAGGAGGCACCAGAGCCGAACUGCUCUGGUGAGACAGAGCCCCCUCCCACGACAUUAGGCUCACAGGGACGCUGACGCCGAUGCAUCGGGUUUUCUGCCGCCUCGGGCCGAGGCUUUGCUGGAACACACGAACCUAACAGACGGAACCCCCCUCAAAUCGUCGCGCUUCGAAACGCACCCAGCAACACCCGUCCCCAGCGGAGCCAGCUCCCGCCCCACGUCCGAGCUGGCUUCCAUCAGACGAAGCCAGGGAUGCGGAGGAGCUGGUUAGCAUCCCCGCACGGCAGCAAGCCUGAGAAGCUCAUUAGCGCCUGUUCGCCGCUUUCCGAGAGGAGAUUCUGAGUGUCAGCGGUAAACUCAUUUCACGGAGUCGCACUUCAUUUGCAGCGAUGGAUGUUUGGUGAGAGCUCCAGUGAGGAUCAGCUGGAAGGAAGCACCUGGAGGCAGCGGCAGGCACGGGACUGCAGAGGUGAGCUCCGGGGGUCUGGGCGAGCCCGUUCCCUCAGCCCCAGACCCCCGGGGCUCCCGGCCUAUAGCAGGAGGCUCGUUCUGCUUUUCUCUCGGGGUCAAUGCAGCGCUGCUGCUGGGCUCUCCAUCUUCUUUUUGCGGGGGUUAAGAGAGGGGUGCUCCCUAAGACCAAGCAGA